RNAcentral lists this ribosomal RNA (412 nucleotides) under uncultured bacterium. Its description in RNAcentral is "bacterial SSU rRNA". It matches the Rfam family "Bacterial small subunit ribosomal RNA", at positions 355 to 758 of the family's 1533-position model. The record is from RNAcentral.
UGAGGAAUAUUGCGCAAUGGGGGCAACCCUGACGCAGCAACGCCGCGUGAGUGAGGAAGGUUUUCGGACCGUAAAGCUCUGUCGAGCGGGAAGAAAUGCAUGGUGGCUAAUAUCCAUCAUGCUUGACGGUACCGCUAAAGGAAGCACCGGCUAACUCCGUGCCAGCAGCCGCGGUAAUACGGGGGGUGCGAGCGUUGUUCGGAAUUAUUGGGCGUAAAGAGCGUGUAGGCGGCCGAAUAAGUCAGAUGUGAAAUCCCUGGGCUUAAACCAGGACGUGCAUUUGAAACUAGUCGGAUAGAGGAGGGGAGAGGAAAGUGGAAUUCCUGGUGUAGAGGUGAAAUUCGUAGAUAUCAGGAGGAACACCGGUGGCGAAGGCGGCUUUCUGGCCCUAUACUGACGCUGAGACGCGAGA